AGAAUCAACGCUGGCGGCGUGCCUAACACAUGCAAGUCGAACGAGAAAGUGGAGCAAUCCAUGAGUACAGUGGCGUACGGGUGAGUAACACGUGACUACCUACCCUCGAGUGGGAAUAACCUCGGGAAACCGGGGCUAAUACCGCAUAAAUGUCUUCGGACCAAAUGCGUAAGCAGCUUGAGGAGGGGUCGCGGCCGAUUAGCUAGUUGGUGAGGUAAUGGCCCACCAAGGCAAUGAUCGGUA
Molecule: ribosomal RNA, 243 nt
Filed under: uncultured bacterium
Lineage: Bacteria
Description: partial small subunit ribosomal RNA
Rfam family: Bacterial small subunit ribosomal RNA
Source: RNAcentral